UACGGAGGGGGCAAGCGUUGUUCGGAAUUAUUGGGCGUAAAGCGUAUGUAGGCGGCUAAGCAAGUCAGGCGUGCAAGCCCGUGGCUCAACCACGGAAUUGCGUUUGAAACUGCUUAGCUUGAGUACAGGAGAGGAAAGCGGAAUUCCCAGUGUAGCGGUGAAAUGCAUUGAUAUUGGGAAGAACAUCUGUGGCGAAGGCGCUUUCUGGUCUGUUACUGACGCUGAGAUACGAAAGCCAGGGGAGCGAACG
This 250-nucleotide ribosomal RNA is filed under the name uncultured bacterium. Its description in RNAcentral is "partial 16S ribosomal RNA". It matches the Rfam family "Bacterial small subunit ribosomal RNA", at positions 524 to 774 of the family's 1533-position model. The record is from RNAcentral.